RNAcentral lists this non-coding RNA (24 nucleotides) under Arabidopsis thaliana (thale cress). The record is from RNAcentral. Lineage: Eukaryota; Viridiplantae; Streptophyta; Magnoliopsida; Brassicales; Brassicaceae.
AGGAUCUUCAGUCUGAGCUAACCC